Molecule: ribosomal RNA, 404 nt
Filed under: uncultured bacterium
Lineage: Bacteria
Description: bacterial SSU rRNA
Rfam family: Bacterial small subunit ribosomal RNA
Source: RNAcentral
UAGGGAAUCUUGCGCAAUGGGCGAAAGCCUGACGCAGCCAUGCCGCGUGAAUGAUGAAGGUCUUAGGAUUGUAAAAUUCUUUCACCGGGGACGAUAAUGACGGUACCCGGAGAAGAAGCUCCGGCUAACUUCGUGCCAGCAGCCGCGGUAAUACGAAGGGGGCUAGCGUUGCUCGGAAUUACUGGGCGUAAAGGGCGCGUAGGCGGAUGUUUAAGUUGGGGGUGAAAGCCCGGGGCUCAACCUCGGAAUAGCCUUCAAUACUGGGCAUCUUGAGUACGGGAGAGGUGAGUGGAACUCCGAGUGUAGAGGUGAAAUUCGUAGAUAUUCGGAAGAACACCAGUGGCGAAGGCGACUCACUGGCCCGUUACUGACGCUGAGGCGCGAAAGCGUGGGGAGCAAACAGG